GACGAACGCUGGCGGCGUGCCUAAUACAUGCAAGUUGAGCGAUGAAGCUUGGUGCUUGCACCAAUUUGAAGAGCAGCGAACGGGUGAGUAACGCGUGGGGAAUCUGCCUUUGAGCGGGGGACAACAUUUGGAAACGAAUGCUAAUACCGCAUAACAACUUUAAACAUAAGUUUUAAGUUUGAAAGAUGCAAUUGCAUCACUCAAAGAUGAUCCCGCGUUGUAUUAGCUAGUUGGUGAGGUAAAGGCUCACCAAGGCGAUGAUACAUAGCCGACCUGAGAGGGUGAUCAGCCACAUUGGGACUGAGACACGGCCCAAACUCCUACGGGAGGCAGCAGUAGGGAAUCUUCGGCAAUGGACGAAAGUCUGACCGAGCAACGCCGCGUGAGUGAAGAAGGUUUUCGGAUCGUAAAACUCUGUUGGUAGAGAAGAACGUUGGUGAGAGUGGAAAGCUCAUCAAGUGACGGUAACUACCCAGAAAGGGACGGCUAACUACGUG
RNAcentral lists this ribosomal RNA (497 nucleotides) under uncultured bacterium. Its description in RNAcentral is "partial 16S ribosomal RNA". It matches the Rfam family "Bacterial small subunit ribosomal RNA", at positions 28 to 507 of the family's 1533-position model. The record is from RNAcentral.